AAUGACAGUCCUUCGUCCUCCAAUUGAUCGAGCGAUACCACACUCCGUUCCUUUCGAAAACUAGAGUGAGUGAGGGGGAGAGUGAUGAGUUUCAUCGACUUCAUCAUCUUCUUCGCAUCAGUCAUCACCAGCCGCCAUCGACGCCAUCUUCCUCUCAGUGGUUCUCUCUCGAUGGCUCUCUCUUGUCGGCGCUCUCUUUCUUGUUGUCUCUCUCUCUCUCUCUCUCUCUCUUCACUAGCUCGCUCGAUCUCUCUCGCUGGCUGACUCCAUGAGAGCCUCCAUUCCACAGUGAACCCAAAAUUUAUCUAUAUGUGGACCAUGUCGUGUACGUUACUAUCUGGUCUUGUCCAUUUGUGAAAGGCAAAGUACAAAGGAGGGAGAAGAUGAUGAUGAUGAUGAUGAGAGUGGGCAGCAUUUAUGAGUAAUCACAUGUAGCUCCUCUAUUUCUAAUUAUAGUUUAAUUUUAUGGAUAUAGUUGGAAUCAAGAUUGGUAAACUGUGUAAUUACUAUUGAAUCUUCAAGUUUUAUGAAAGAAACAAUUAUGUAUAUAUGUAUGGUGUGGGCAAUAGCAGAUUUGGACUUGAAUUUAUUGUUC
Long non-coding RNA from Prunus persica (peach), 595 nucleotides. RefSeq lists it as uncharacterized. The record is from RefSeq and is a predicted model, not a curated record. NCBI's taxonomy places the organism in Eukaryota, Viridiplantae, Streptophyta, Magnoliopsida, Rosales, Rosaceae. The transcript is spliced from 2 exons.